This is a long non-coding RNA of Poecilia reticulata (guppy), 375 nucleotides long. RefSeq lists it as uncharacterized. NCBI's taxonomy places the organism in Eukaryota, Metazoa, Chordata, Actinopteri, Cyprinodontiformes, Poeciliidae. The record is from RefSeq and is a predicted model, not a curated record.
UGUCAGUCCCGGACCAUUAUUCCUGGAGAUCCCAGAGGAAACUGCGAUCGCGCUGCUGUUGGUCUUUUUCCAGGUAUGAGACCCUUUGGAUGUGAGGCCAUGCAGAAGAAGAGGCUGAUAAAUGAGAGGCUGUGCCCAUCCUGUCCCUGGGGCGUUUCCAGCCUGCCCUGGGGGAGGGAAGGGAGGACACCACCACUACCUCCGCAAUUUCAUCUCUUUUAACACCAAACAAAUGUCUUUUAAACUACAACUGUGCCUUUCUAAAGCUCAGCUAGUUUGAGGAUUUAGUCUCACCUCUCGAGUGUGAAUGAAUAAAUGGGAAAUCCCAUUCUUAAACUGAGCAUAGUCGACAAAAAUCUAGCCCCGAAAACCCUG